Lates calcarifer (barramundi perch) is the source of this 1028-nucleotide long non-coding RNA. RefSeq lists it as uncharacterized. The record is from RefSeq and is a predicted model, not a curated record. NCBI's taxonomy places the organism in Eukaryota, Metazoa, Chordata, Actinopteri, Centropomidae. The transcript is spliced from 5 exons.
GCAGAUGCCCAAAGUGGUCCCUUACCUGAGUGUGACGAUGAUGGCCGAGGGUUGGGCACAGGCGGUGAUGAGAGUGACGAUGAAGAGGAAGAUGAGGAAAGGGAUGAGCGUGUUGCAGUGCUGCAUCCAGCCAGACAGGGGUUGAAAUAGGUGAUGCCGUCAGAGCCACAGACCGGAGCGUACUCGUGGAUCCUGCAGCCACAGUUCACGUUACAACUGCCCGUCAGAUUCCUGUGGGUCAUCGUCAGGGUCGGGCUGCAUGGACAGAGACAGAAGAGGGGGCUGCUGAUCUGCUGACCACGAUCAAACCGAGAAACUUCAUCGACUCCUACCAAAAGAUGUUGUUCAGAAGCGGGAAAAAGCAAGAAACUGACCGAAAACACGUCGAAAAUGGCGGCCUUCACCUGCGUUUGGAAGUCGGAUAAUGGUCACCAGCGGAUGAAGUUCAGAGACGUUCACAGACACACACACACACAGGUGGUGCAGAGGUCUGACUGGACACCUUUACGAGAGGACUUCAUGGAUCUCCAUGUGAGUCAGCCGAGAUCCCAGAGUUGGUGGACGUCACCAUCGACAAGACACUGAAGAUGAUGGACUGCAACCAGGAACAAGCGGGCUGGAUGAUCUUCAGACUAAAGCUAUGAGAAACUUAAGAAGACAGUUCCGUUCGAGAUCGACUUCGGCUGCUUCCGUUUCACGGGAUGGUCAAGUAUAAACAAAGUGCCAUCACGUCGGACACAUUUUACCUCCCCUAGUGUGACUGACCACACGCCGUUUGACUAGUACCAGUUCAUCGAGGAAAACUGAACAGUUGUUCUUUUUUAUGUAAAGAGUAUGUCUCAAUGUCAGACUGUUUUGUAAACCUACACAGUGUUAACGGAACUGAAGUUUAAGUUUACAGAAGUCCUCUGACACUCAUGAAACGAAAUCUAAAUAAUGUCUGUAAAUAUGAAAACAUGUAAAUAAAACUCUAUACCGAUGUUGUUUUAUUUAAUCUUCACAAUAAACAUCUGACUGCUAAAAAAAGA